RNAcentral lists this ribosomal RNA (1203 nucleotides) under Pseudomonas syringae pv. tomato Max13. Its description in RNAcentral is "bacterial LSU rRNA". It matches the Rfam family "Bacterial large subunit ribosomal RNA", at positions 1184 to 2373 of the family's 2925-position model. Lineage: Bacteria; Pseudomonadati; Pseudomonadota; Gammaproteobacteria; Pseudomonadales; Pseudomonadaceae. The record is from RNAcentral.
AAACCAUGCACCGAAGCUACGGGUAUCACCUUUGGUGAUGCGGUAGAGGAGCGUUCUGUAAGCCUGUGAAGGUGAGUUGAGAAGCUUGCUGGAGGUAUCAGAAGUGCGAAUGCUGACAUGAGUAACGACAAUGGGUGUGAAAAACACCCACGCCGAAAGACCAAGGUUUCCUGCGCAACGUUAAUCGACGCAGGGUUAGUCGGUCCCUAAGGCGAGGCUGAAAAGCGUAGUCGAUGGAAAACAGGUUAAUAUUCCUGUACUUCUGGUUAUUGCGAUGGAGGGACGGAGAAGGCUAGGCCAGCCUGGCGUUGGUAGUCCAGGUUUAAGGUGGUAGGCUGAGAUCUUAGGUAAAUCCGGGAUCUUAAGGCCGAGAGCUGAUGACGAGUGUUCUUUUAGAACAUGAAGUGGUUGAUGCCAUGCUUCCAAGAAAAGCUUCUAAGCUUCAGGUAACCAGGAACCGUACCCCAAACCGACACAGGUGGUUGGGUAGAGAAUACCAAGGCGCUUGAGAGAACUCGGGUGAAGGAACUAGGCAAAAUGGCACCGUAACUUCGGGAGAAGGUGCGCCGGUGAGGGUGAAGCAUUUACUGCGUAAGCCCACGCCGGUCGAAGAUACCAGGCCGCUGCGACUGUUUAUUAAAAACACAGCACUCUGCAAACACGAAAGUGGACGUAUAGGGUGUGACGCCUGCCCGGUGCCGGAAGGUUAAUUGAUGGGGUUAGCGCAAGCGAAGCUCUUGAUCGAAGCCCCGGUAAACGGCGGCCGUAACUAUAACGGUCCUAAGGUAGCGAAAUUCCUUGUCGGGUAAGUUCCGACCUGCACGAAUGGCGUAACGAUGGCGGCGCUGUCUCCACCCGAGACUCAGUGAAAUUGAAAUCGCUGUGAAGAUGCAGUGUAUCCGCGGCUAGACGGAAAGACCCCGUGAACCUUUACUAUAGCUUUGCACUGGACUUUGAAUUUGCUUGUGUAGGAUAGGUGGGAGGCUUUGAAGCGUGGACGCCAGUCUGCGUGGAGCCAACCUUGAAAUACCACCCUGGCAACUUUGAGGUUCUAACUCAGGUCCGUUAUCCGGAUCGAGGACAGUGUAUGGUGGGUAGUUUGACUGGGGCGGUCUCCUCCUAAAGAGUAACGGAGGAGUACGAAGGUGCGCUCAGACCGGUCGGAAAUCGGUCGUAGAGUAUAAAGGCAAAAGCGCGCUUGAC